This is a long non-coding RNA of Sinocyclocheilus grahami, 112 nucleotides long. RefSeq lists it as uncharacterized. NCBI's taxonomy places the organism in Eukaryota, Metazoa, Chordata, Actinopteri, Cypriniformes, Cyprinidae. The record is from RefSeq and is a predicted model, not a curated record. The transcript is spliced from 4 exons.
CGUUCAGAUAGCUGAUUAUAGUUUUAGGGGGCUGAGACGACAAAUAGGGUGGCUGAAGCCCACCUAAAAGGGUCUAGAACCGUCCCUGAUUUUAACUUGAUCCUAACUUUUA